RNAcentral lists this unclassified non-coding RNA (1952 nucleotides) under Leishmania donovani. RNAcentral describes it as "gene:LdHU3.15.0280(CDS-product:Cytochrome_b5-like _Heme/Steroid_binding_domain_containing_protein_putative)". The record is from RNAcentral. Lineage: Eukaryota; Euglenozoa; Kinetoplastea; Trypanosomatida; Trypanosomatidae.
UGGUGACGACGGCGCUGUCGGAUCGUAGCUCGCCGUACCUGUACAAGUGGUUACGGGUACGGGCAUCUAUCUGUGCCUCUCUCUUCCUCGCACACACGCACUCUUCCUCCAUUGCGUUCGUAUCAGUUCACGCUAGUGCGUCUGAUCGCCUGCGCGCCGGCUUGCAUACUUGUCUUUCUCGCAUUCGCUGACGUCCUCCAUAACGCCGUCGCCCAUUUCCACCGAGACGUACGCAUACACGUGCGCAUACGCUAACAGGCGCUCACGCGAGCAGGCACACGUGCGUCUCGCUACCCUCACCUUCUCUCCACCCCUCGACUCGUUACUCUCGGUCGCGGCACAAAACGCCUCGACGUGUGCAGCGCAGGCCAACGCCAGCCUGAAAGGGAGAGGCUUGCUGUACACCGUCUGCAGAGUGUGGCGACACACACAGCAGUAGGUCUGCUGAAGGGGAAGGAUAUAGAAAGGAAGCAACUCACCACAGCACCAUUGCCAUCAUGUCGGACGCGACCGGGUCUGGCGCGCGCGAGGUGACGCGUGCCAGCAUUGUGCUUGGCGUCUUUCUGGGCUUCCUCGUUAUUAUAUUCGUGCGCUUGCAGUUUAAAAGUCGCCAGCGGCUGGCCGAGAAGCCCCGCCGCGACGCGUUCGUGCCGCGUGCCUACACGGUGGAGGAGUUGGCGCAGUUCGACGGGAAGCAGAAGCCGCAGGUGUUCGUGGGGGUGAAAGGGAUCAUCUACAACGUCUCGCUCGAGUGGUACGGGCCGGAGGGCCCAUACAGCGCCUUUGCCGGCUGCGACAGCUCCCGUCAGCUCGGUAAGGUCAUCGUUGGCCGCGACGAGAUCAACGCGGACUGGACCACCCUCGCCCCCGACCAUCUUAAAACGUUGCAUGAGUGGGAGGAGCGCUUCCGCAGCAAGUACCCUGCAGUGGGCUGGAUCACGGACCCGAACAGGAACUUCGUGAAACGCGCGGCUUCUCUCUCACCGUGAGGAAGCGGUAGGGAGAGGGAGGGGAGUUGUUUGUCUGUGUGUGACUGCCGCUGGCAUUGUACAGGAGGUUUAUGGCAUUGCUGGUGGCGGUGAGGGGUAUGAGAGGUGGAGGUGUGUGUGUGUGUGCACUUCGGGGAAGUGGGAAGGGGAGGAAAGAGUUUGCAAGGCUGCGCGACAGAUGACGUGCUCUCUCUUCUCCACUGCUGAAGGAAUGCCACUUGACGCGUCGGGGUUAGCACGUCUCCCACUCUCUUGCCGCCUCGUUCUGUGCCUCCGUCUCCCUCUCUCUCCCCUCUUCACAUGCACUCACGCACAGCCGCAUCGCCGCGACCACACACGCCGUGUGUGUGUGUGUGUGUGUGUGUCGCUCUGUCGCUGCAUCUCCUUCCUCCCUCCUUUUUGGCGCCUUCAUCGUUGGCCUCAGCGCCUCCCCCUCUUUCGACUCCUUCCCUCCACACCCAGCAUCUUCGAGAGCCGUAGGCUAGGUACGGCGGGAGGAGGCUCCGUCCUACCAACUACAGCACAGCGUCAUCAACUUGCACGCAGGCGAAGGAAAAGACAAACGACUGAUGAGGACAUCAUUUGACGGACACGUGAGCGCACCGCCGGUGCCACGGGGGACAGGAGAGGUGAGGAGGGGAGUUCCUCUGCGACGCUCCUUCUCCCGCUCUUCCUACUGCUGCGUGCCCACGUGUUUGCGUGUUUAAGGUGGCCAGUCCUUGUCUCCUACGUCGGCAGCAGCUGCCGCUGACGAGUCUGCUGCCGUAUAGUUGGAGCAGAGAGUGUACGGGUGUUGUGAGCAGAGGGUCGAGCUGAACAGGAUGAGCGGUCAAAGGCAGCAACCCGGUACGAGUUGUCCCUCCUCACCCUGCCAUGCAGGUAAAGGCACCAGUGCACAUCUCCUGCCCCCCCCCCCCCCUCUUGUCCUCCUCUAUCGGAGAAACCACUUUCUCCUACCUUUUG